This 1148-nucleotide long non-coding RNA is filed under the name Homo sapiens (human). RNAcentral's name for it is "PREDICTED lncRNA (TCONS_00258401)". The record is from RNAcentral. Lineage: Eukaryota; Metazoa; Chordata; Mammalia; Primates; Hominidae.
GUCGGCGAGCCCGCGGUGGGGGUCCCCGCGCCGCCCAGGCCUACCCCGGCUCCUUGGGAUAGAUGGGGAAGCUGAGGCCCAGAAGGGGGCUGAGACCACCUCCCAGUUUCCCCAGUGAGGUGGCGCCUGAGCCACGGCCAGGCCCGGCCUCCUUCCACCCGGCCCUGCUGUGCGCGCGGCGGGUGCUGACCUGGCGAGGCCGGACAGGGGACCAGGUCGGGGUGACCGUCACUGACACCUGGACAGUCCUCGUUGUGUUCGGGGUGGGAAGCCCACGGUGAGUCUGGGGACCCAAGAUCUUAUUUUCCUUUCUGUCACCCCCGCUUGGUUUUGGAUUCCGUGACAGCUGGACCCGGCUUCUGCGUGGACAUAAUUGGAGACACUGGUUAUUUUACCAAAGCUUUGACCGGAAGGAUGUACUUUUGGAUACAAACAGACUGCUUUAAGGAGUCAAAGCUGACUUAUGAAGUUGGCCUCAUCCCUUGUCUACACAGUCACUGUACAGAGUUCCUUGCCUGUAGUAUGUAAAGAAUGUCACUUUCUGACAGGCUCAGGAGCCCCAAAUUAUCCUGGGACCUUGAGGAGAGGACAUUGCCCAAUUUAUAUAGGUAUUUUCAGGCACCAAUAAAUCAUGGCUGGGCUCAAGGCUUUAAAAAAAGUCAAAUCUGGGAUUCGUUAUAGAAUAAAGUUCCAGCAAAGCCAAUUUUAAGACAGGCCUAUAUGGCAAAUAAUUAUUCGUGCUGACAUUAUGCAAACACUCAGGCCAAGUAUAAGAUGAAAAAUUAUUUUAAAUAAAUUUGUCCUACUAUGAUUUGUCUUCAGUAAAAACAGGUACUGGGCUGGGCAUGGUGGCUCACAGCUGUAAUCCCAGCACACUGGGAGGCCAAGGCAGGCAGAUCGCUUGAGGUCAGGAGUUUGAGACCAGCCUGGCCAACAUGGUGGUGAAACACCAUCUCUACCAAAAAAUAUAAAAAUUAGCCAGGUGUGGUGGCAUGUGUCUGUAAUCCUAGCUACCCAGGAGGCUGAGGCAUGAGAAUUGCUUGAACCCAGGAGGUGGAGCUUGCCUGAGUCCUGGUAAGGCACAGACAGAAAGGGUUGUCAGCCAUUUUUUUCUGAGGUUAUAAGAUCUGCAACUUCCCCAGUUAUUC